GACGAACCGUGCGAACGUUGUUCGGAAUCACUGGGCGUAAAGCGUGCGCAGGCGGUGAUGUAAGACCGAUGUGAAAUCCCCGGGCUUAACCUGGGAACUGCAUUGGUGACUGCAUUGCUGGAGUAUGGCAGAGGGGGGUGGAAUUCCACGUGUAGCAGUGAAAUGCGUAGAGAUGUGGAGGAACACCGAUGGCGAAGGCAGCCCCCUGGGCCAAUACUGACGCUCAUGCACGAAAGCGUGGGGAGCAAACAGG
Molecule: ribosomal RNA, 253 nt
Filed under: uncultured bacterium
Lineage: Bacteria
Description: partial 16S ribosomal RNA
Rfam family: Bacterial small subunit ribosomal RNA
Source: RNAcentral